This 253-nucleotide ribosomal RNA is filed under the name uncultured bacterium. Its description in RNAcentral is "partial 16S ribosomal RNA". It matches the Rfam family "Bacterial small subunit ribosomal RNA", at positions 524 to 776 of the family's 1533-position model. The record is from RNAcentral.
UACGGAGGGUGCAAGCGUUAUCCGGAUUCACUGGGUUUAAAGGGUGCGUAGGAGGGCAGGUAAGUCCGUGGUGAAAUCUCUGAGCUUAACUCAGAAACUGCCGUGGAUACUACCGGUCUUGAAUAUCGUGGAGGUGAGCGGAAUAUGUCAUGUAGCGGUGAAAUGCUUAGAUAUGACAUAGAACACCAAUUGCGAAGGCAGCUCACUGCCCGAAUAUUGACUCUGAGGCACGAAAGCGUGGGGAUCAAACAGG